UGAGAACUAAUUUGCUAUUCGGUGACAUAAGAGGGGGAGUGCGCUGCGCUUUCCCGGGGUCUGGGGCGCCUUCCUCCUCUCUUACCCAUAAACUCCGCUCCUCGAGCUAAACACACAAAAGGGAGCGAAGAGGUUCGGCCCGUUGGAAAAAGUCUGUUAUAUAUAGUAGCUUUAGAGGCGAGUAAGAGGGGGGAGAAAAAAAAAAAAAGAAAAAAAAAAAAAAACAAUAAACCCCACAGCUCCUUCCAGCUAGAAUAUUAGGCACCACGAGAAAAAUAUUUGCCAAGCAGUUUUCGCUUAUCAUGGAAAGAGGAGAUAGGAUGGGCAGCCCUGCAAAAGAGCCCUUUGCUGUGGCCUUAUAUUCAGAGAAGACUUCAAAUUUGGACUUUUGAUUUGCUCUCCACUGAGGUUCUGCUUCAGUCUUAAUGGUACACGGACAGGAUGGAAACAAGACCUUCACACACAAGCUUUGUGUGCAGUACCCACCGUAGGACCUAAUGUAGAAGCCCUCACACUCUCCCACAGUGCUAUGAUUUCAUAGUUUCUGAAUCUAGAAUUAUCUUAUGAAUCAUGCAAUUUUAUUGUAAUUGUGUGUAUGUUGGUAUUUAAAAUGUGAAGUUUUAAAUAUAUUUGGCCUAGAAGCAACGAUACCAUAGUAGCAAUGAACACACCUAGUGCCCAGAUUAUACCGUAAAAGAAGGAUUUGCUAAAAAGAAGAAGGAGGAGGAGGAGAAGAAGAAGAAAAGAAACCAAACAAAUACACAAAAGAUCCCUACAUCGACCGGGGGGGAUAUUUCAGAGAUACUAGGGCUACCUGAAGAGCUCCCAAUGGUCAAAGCUACAAAUUUGAGCAACAAUAUAGACUAAUAUUAGAUUAUAACCAAAAGUAUAAAAUAAACGGCAACAAUUUUACACAGAUAAAAAUAAAUUAUGGGAAAAAUUAAUAAAUGGAAGAGACAAAUUUCUCAUGCAGAAGAAUUCCAAAUAAUCUAUGUAGCCACUCUCCCCUGAAGGAGGGAGAGUAUAAUUCUCUUCUCCUUAAAUGUGAGCUGGGCAUAGUCACUUCUUUCUAAAGAGUAUGGUAUGGGAAGGGGAGUGGGGGAGGUAAUUUUACAUGGAGAAACCAGACUAACACUACAUCAGCCACAAUAUCAAGGUCAACAUCAACAAUGAUAAACCAAAAACAAAGAAACAAACAAACAAAUGAUGAUAAACCAUGUUGAUUGUAUGUACCUUUGAUAUAAGGUGGUGAAAUCAUUCUUUACCUCUGUAGUCUUCCUCCCAUACCUCAGUCUGUUUCUGAGAAAAACAUUAGACACACCCUAGUAGAGGGGCAUCCUACAAAAUGCUUGACCAGAAUUACUCAAAACCGUCAAGGUUAUCAAAAACAAGGAAAGUCUGAUGAGCUGCCACAGCCAAGAAUAACUCAAGAAGACAUGAUAACUUAAUGUAAAGUAGUAUUUAGCCAAAAAAGAAAGUAAAUCUAAACAAAUAUGAAUAUAUGAUGGACUUUAGUUAAUAA
Canis lupus familiaris (dog) is the source of this 1522-nucleotide long non-coding RNA. RefSeq lists it as uncharacterized. NCBI's taxonomy places the organism in Eukaryota, Metazoa, Chordata, Mammalia, Carnivora, Canidae. The record is from RefSeq and is a predicted model, not a curated record. The transcript has 2 exons.